UCAUCUUUUGCUAUAGCCUGAGAACAGUUGCUCUUUCGAGCUGUGGAAUGAGGCUGGAUGAUGUGGAGGAGCUCUGGGUACUGUACUCACACGCAGGAUAAGUAGGGUGGCCUUAAAGUCUGGGUAGCUGUGAAGGGUGGUAAAGAGGAGUUGACUCUUCAGGCUGUAUCUUCCUGCAAGGUUGAUUCCUUCAAGCUUAUCAUUCAUACCUGAGAUUAUUAGAGAGCACCUUAAAUUAAAUUGGCAGGAUUCAAUAAGAGACUAUUUGGGUUAUUAGCUUUACUAGUUUUCUGCACUGUACACUUAAUCUAAUCCCUGUGACACUGAUUCUGUUGCCAGGGUCUUGUUGCUCAGAACAGUGUGUGAAACCUGGGAAGGAUUUUGGGAAUGGUCUUUCUCUCAGCAUUCCAGAGCUUAAGGGAUGUCUCCUCCAGUUGUGUGUCAGAGAAGUACAGUGUCUAUUCUUGUUUCAAAGUCCUAAUUAGAAAUGGGAAGGGAAUGUACCAAAGUCACCAAUAAGGAAGCACAAUCACAAUAUCUGUAGAAUUAAGGCAUGAGGAAUUUGCUGAAGUUUGAUUGAGCACCCUAGUUAGGUACCUUUGUUCUUUACAGAUGGCUGCUAAUAGAGCUAAUAGCCAUUAUUUUAGUUUGGUUUCUUGUACUACUGAAUAUCUUUUGAGCUUUGAUACACUGUCUAGUUCUUGAUUUAUCAUUAGCAAGGAUAUGUGUGUUUUACGACCUCAGUGAAAACACUGUCUCAGGCAGUUUUUUACAAGUUCAAGUUGCAGGCUGUCCUACUUGAAGCUUAAAGUAUUUUCCAGUGAAAGUGUUUCAUUUGCCAUGGAAGUGUUUCAUUUGCCAUGGAAGUGUUUCAUUUGCCAUGGAAGUGUUUCCUUUGCCAUGAAAGUUUCAUUUGCCACGGAAGUGUUUCCAUCCCUGCGCGCUGCUGACGCUCCUGCCAGGCCAGGCUGGCUCUGGUGCGUCCUGCACACGCGCUGGGGACGGGAGGCAGAGUGCCCCAGGGUCCCUGUGUGCUGUGGCAGUGGUGGAUGAGGCCGUGCAGGGACUCCUCUUUGGGGUCUGGCAGCUCUGUCAUUCUUCAUGAACUUCCCUGCUGCCAGUAGAAGAGGUGGAACACCCUGCACCCAAAGUCCAGCGUGCCAGGCUUGCCUUCAUCUAUCUGCUUGGCACUGACCCAGGCUUGCUGUGCCUCUGCAGCCUCCUGGCCUGGCAUUUCCUGCUGCUUGUUUGAUUGAGCCUGUCUACAGUUUUAACAAGAAGCACUUUGAAAACAGCUUUUAUUAAAGUCAACUCCCAAAUGAAACAGCUGGGAAGUGUUCCAUGCUGUCUUAUCUCUGGUCCCACUCAGGCCAAAGCCAGUCUUCACUGGUUUGUGUCAAAACCAAGUCACGUCUUCGUGAGCAAACUGAGAGGAUUAAUAAGGCAAAUUGGCAGGUUGCACAGAGUAAAAUGAUCAAAAUAUCUUUAUGCUAGAAAAGUUUCACCCCUUGUUAGGUUUGCUGCUCUCCUAAGGAAGUUUGUGCCCUUACUGCCAGAGCCUUAAGAGAGCCAAUGCUGCCAGCUACAGCAACAGUGUUUCUUACAGUGUUCAUUUUACAGGGCAACUGAGAAGUAAUUGAAAAACAAAUAUAAAUUAUUUCAGCAUGUAAAAGGCAUCAGUACUAUCCAUCUCUAAACUUAACAAUUUAAAAAUGUUUAAACAUGUCUGGAGGAAUUGUGUACACUGAAAUAGCACCUAUUCUUAGCUUUUCAAAUAUGCAGUUCAGAGGUCAGAUUUGCUGGUUCCUACUGACAGCUGCCUCACACAGCACCUGCCCAUACAUUAGCAUUAGGUAACUGUUUCUUACAUUAAUAUGGUAAUGGCAAUUUAUCCUCUGCUAGAAAGAGGCCACACCAAUUCAGGUCUGGGAAAGUAAACUGCUACAAUGAAACAUGACCUUUCAUCUUUUCCAGUUGUGAUUUUUAUAAUAGGUAAAGGCUUUCAUCCUGAAUAACACCUCUAUCCUAAUAAUGCUCAUGGAAAUAGGACUUCAGACUUCUUUGAAGGAAACUACUUAAUUUGUGGACUGACCAUUAGAUUGAACUCCUAAAGCCACAUUGUGUGUGAAAAUGUUGUGGCUGCAUGUUUCUUCUCUGGGUGUUGUAGUGCUUGCUACUGCUCCUCAACAGCAGCUUUAGAUCACUGCUAGCUACCGAGCACCGAGAGAGAAAAAUAUUCUUCUGAAUGCUUUGACAGUUGAGGGAAAGAGGACAGAACUGCUAUUAGAAAAGGUGUCUAAUUGCCUUCUGGUAGAACCUAAUCCUUUAGAUUAAUUAGAUUAAUUUUUAAUAACAGAUGAACUAACUUAUCGGUAAUGAACUUCAGGGAAAUUGCCAGUUGAUUUAGAAUGAGGGUCAAGAUUUUAUUUUUUAGGCUCUGAAAUAGACAGGGAAGAGCAAAGAAGAAUCUGAGGGUCAGGUGAUCUAUGAAUGAUUUUUCAUUUCUCAUCUUGUUACCAUCUAUCUCAUUAUAUUACCAGUUGUAUAUGUAUGGGAUAUGCAAACACAGAAGCAAUAAAAUAUUUUAAAAUCAGUUUCUUUAAACUUCU
Molecule: long non-coding RNA, 2609 nt
Organism: Lonchura striata (white-rumped munia)
Lineage: Eukaryota; Metazoa; Chordata; Aves; Passeriformes; Estrildidae
Source: Ensembl